UGCCAGCAGCCGCGGUAAUACGUAGGGAGCGAGCGUUGUUCGGAUUUAUUGGGCGUAAAGAGCACGUAGGCGGGUAUGCAAGUCAGUUGUGAAAUCCUCUGGCUCAACCAGAGAAUUGCAGCUGAAACUGCAUACCUUGAGUCCAGCAGAGGAAAUCGGAAUCAAGGGUGUAGCGGUGAAAUGCGUAGAUAUCCUUGAGAACACCAGUGGCGAAGGCGGAUUUCUGGGCUGGUACUGACGCUGAGGUGCGAAAGCGUGGGGAGCAAACAGGAUUAGAUA
This 279-nucleotide ribosomal RNA is filed under the name uncultured bacterium. RNAcentral's name for it is "partial 16S ribosomal RNA". It matches the Rfam family "Bacterial small subunit ribosomal RNA", at positions 506 to 784 of the family's 1533-position model. The record is from RNAcentral.